This 73-nucleotide transfer RNA is filed under the name Aedes aegypti (yellow fever mosquito). It matches the Rfam family "tRNA". From Rfam's summary of the family: Transfer RNA (tRNA) molecules are approximately 80 nucleotides in length. Their secondary structure includes four short double-helical elements and three loops (D, anti-codon, and T loops). Further hydrogen bonds mediate the characteristic L-shaped molecular structure. tRNAs have two regions of fundamental functional importance: the anti-codon, which is responsible for specific mRNA codon recognition, and the 3' end, to which the tRNAs corresponding amino acid is attached (by aminoacyl-tRNA synthetases). tRNAs cope with the degeneracy of the genetic code in two manners: having more than one tRNA (with a specific anti-codon) for a particular amino acid; and 'wobble' base-pairing, i.e. permitting non-standard base-pairing at the 3rd anti-codon position. The record is from Rfam by way of RNAcentral. Lineage: Eukaryota; Metazoa; Arthropoda; Insecta; Diptera; Culicidae.
CCUCUCAUGGCGUAGUGGUAACGCGCCCCAACUAGAGAUCGGGGAGUCGUGAGUUCGAGUCUCACUGAGAAGA